AUGUGGCUAAUUGGAAGCACGGCAGCGGCUACGGCAAGUGCCGCCCGGCGCUGCGGAGGCCGAGCGCGGCCGCGGAGGCUUUGUCACACGCUGCUCGUGGACCACGUGGGCCGCGGGCACGGAAACAUGUGCCCGGGCUGGACGGAGGAUGCGCAGGAGGGAGUCUCCGCUCCUCGGGAAGCGUUCAAGCUCGCGCCCCAGGGCCGCCGCCAGCCGAGCGAGCGGCACCGCUUGUCGGCCAGCCCCCGCGCUCUCGGUUCAGCUUUGCAGCGGGAUCGUUUUGAUUCCCAUUCAGUUCGCAAAUGCAGCCGGCCGGGCAGAGGCAAAUCUGAUCAUCAGUGCAAAAAGCAGGCUGCUCGGAUUUCAGCUGCCAGCUGGGAUAUGGAUAAGGGAUGGGCGCAGAGGCCUCGCGCCCAGGCGUUGCAGCGCACGGGCCGGUGCUGCUGGACAGAGCCAUCCCCAGCGCUGCCACCGCAGCCAGCUCGCUGCAGGAAGGGGCACGGCACACGGGACAUGGGACAUGGGGCACGGGAUGCAGGAUGCAGGACACUGAACAUGGGAUGCGGGACACAGGACAUGGCACAUGGCACAUGGCACAUGGCACACGGCACACGGGACGUGGAACACGGGACAGGGUGCAGGCAUGCCCAUCUGGGCAGCUGCCUCCGCAGUGAGUCAUUGCUGCUGGCAGGGGAGGCCACAAAAGGAUUUACAGAAAGAAUCAGGCACGGACGUAAAAACUCUUCCCUCAUUCCUGCAGUGCCAUCUUCUCCAGGAGGGAGGCAGCUCUCCGGUCCCGUAUCCGUGUGCUCAGCUGCAGAUCCCAGCCGCCAGCCAGGUCCAGCUGCGGAGCCGGUGGGGCCGUGCGGUCAGGUGCUCGCGGAGCCGCCUGCCCCCGGGAAGGGAGCGUUCCCGCAGGGGCAGGGGAGGCAGCCGUGCGCAAGGCUGCGGACGAGGGCUUGCGUGUGGCCGGGCGAGAGGCGCCGGAGGCGGCGCGCGGGCGCCCGGUCCCGUCCAGCCGCGGCAAGGGGCUGCGGCGGGCGCAAGAGCGAGGGCGGCUGGGCUCGCAGCGCGAGGAGGCUCCUCGCCCCGGGUCUUCUGCAGAGCGCGGCCAGAACCUGCCCCUUCCCACCGAGCGGAGCGAAAGCUGCAGGCCGUCACCGACCCGCGCUCGGCAUCCGCCAGAGGCUGAGAACCCGGCGCGGCCACGCACUAAAAAUUCGAAGCAUCCCAAUCCAAUAA
RNAcentral lists this long non-coding RNA (1242 nucleotides) under Apteryx haastii (Great spotted kiwi). RNAcentral describes it as "lncRNA (ENSAHAG00000017661.1)". The record is from RNAcentral. Lineage: Eukaryota; Metazoa; Chordata; Aves; Apterygiformes; Apterygidae.